AGCAGUCCACGGUAAAACGAAGGGGGCUAGCGUUGCUCGGAAUGACUGGGCGUAAAGGGCGCGUAGGCGGUUUUGACAGUCAGAUGUGAAAUUCCUGGGCUUAACCUGGGGGCUGCAUUUGAGACGUCAAGACUAGAGUGUGAGAGAGGGUUGUGGAAUUCCCAGCGUAGAGGUGAAAUUCGUAGAUAUUGGGAAGAACACCGGUGGCGAAGGCGGCAACCUGGCUCAUUACUGACGCUGAGGCGCGAAAGCGUGGGGAGCAAACAGGAUUAGAUACCCGAGUAGUCCCUGUCUCUUAUACAC
RNAcentral lists this ribosomal RNA (303 nucleotides) under uncultured bacterium. RNAcentral's name for it is "partial 16S ribosomal RNA". It matches the Rfam family "Bacterial small subunit ribosomal RNA", at positions 510 to 809 of the family's 1533-position model. The record is from RNAcentral.